CGACAGCAUGAAGAGAUGAGGACUUUCCUAAAAGCCCUCACGCCAACCUGCCCGCCUCCGGGCAAGGUGGUGGCCUCCGCGGGAGGCCAUGUGGCCGGUAGCUCAUCGCGCACCGACAAACAUACGGAGAAUG
RNAcentral lists this non-coding RNA (133 nucleotides) under Sutterella wadsworthensis. RNAcentral's name for it is "SAM-I-IV sequence". It matches the Rfam family "SAM-I/IV (S-adenosyl methionine) riboswitch aptamer". From Rfam's summary of the family: It is found upstream of a number of genes which code for proteins involved in methionine or cysteine biosynthesis. It has been found mostly in the order Actinomycetales. Lineage: Bacteria; Pseudomonadati; Pseudomonadota; Betaproteobacteria; Burkholderiales; Sutterellaceae. The record is from RNAcentral. RNAcentral also lists the same sequence under 1 other name.